This 69-nucleotide transfer RNA is filed under the name Ixodes scapularis (black-legged tick). RNAcentral's name for it is "tRNA-Gly for anticodon CCC". Lineage: Eukaryota; Metazoa; Arthropoda; Arachnida; Ixodida; Ixodidae. The record is from RNAcentral.
CGCGCGUGGCCUAACGGUUAUCGCGCUUGCCUCCCACGCAGAAGGCCACGGUUCGAUUCCUUGCCGCGA